Long non-coding RNA from Exaiptasia diaphana, 449 nucleotides. RefSeq lists it as uncharacterized. The record is from RefSeq and is a predicted model, not a curated record. The transcript has 2 exons. Lineage: Eukaryota; Metazoa; Cnidaria; Anthozoa; Actiniaria; Aiptasiidae.
AUACUCACUACGUUUUACUAUCAACCACACUAGUCAAAUCAUCGUAUUCUUACUUUAUCACGAUGAGCAAUAGAAUCGCUUUUCUUCUUCUAUCGGCAGCCGUGUUAAUGGCCAUGUGUGUCUAUCAGARCGAYGCAUUUACUGGAGGGCUUCCUAUUGGGAACGGCAAAAGAACACUUCCAGAAAUUAUCAAGGCAAAACAGGAGAGAGCAGUCCAGAAUAUCUGUGAUGCGGCAAGAAUCAUUGGAUGCAGUCGAUUAAAGAUCAAUAGAUGUACGCGGAAGCUCGAAAACGAAAUCUAAGAUUUGAAACAUAUUUUCUUUUCUUGAUCCAUAUCUAUAGAAGAUCUAUUCAAAUCCAGACAUAACUUUUAACUUGUAGUACCCCAUAUAGUUAGCAUGUAAAAAAUAUGGUCUGAUUAGAUAAGUUAAUAAAAUUUAUUGAGCUUA